CAGAGCAGAUUCCUCCACCUAGGCUAGAUACACGGAAACGAACCUGGUUUGUGGACUUCAACUACCAGGUGGACGUCAAAGCUCGCAAAGCACUCUGGGAUUCGUAGUCAGACUUGGAUGAUGGACUGAGCAGAGUGGAGACUGGAUGAUGCAGUACCUCCGUGCGCCUGUCUGACAGCUCUUUCAGGGUGAAAGCUUUUGGUUUUAUCUUGUGCCAAACCACCUGUAUGUGUAUGACUCAUCUGUGAUGUGGAGGUGAGUAGAAACAGUGCACGAACCUUCACCUCCUGUUAAUUUUAGCCACAAAUCAUUUAGAAAAGACACACAUGGCUCAGUUCCUUAAAAGGACCUUUAUCGUUUUUCUAUUUAACCUUUGUUUGUUUCUCAUUUAUUUAUUAUAAGGUUGCCUGUUUGUUUUUAAUUCUCUAAAUUUACUCUAAACUGCCAGAACUUAGACAUAGAAAUGCCCUUUCACCAAACAUUAUACACACUGUCAGUCUGAAGAAAAAAUAGCUUGAUUUUAAAAACAGUGAAUUAAUGAAUAUGAAUAUCGAUGGCAACUUAGUCCAAUAAUAGUCCAAAUGGCCUGUGCUAAUGUUUGCAUCUAUUUCAUGUAAUCAUGAUGAUCAUCAUGAUUUUUUACAGAGUAGGACUGCAAGGUCAAGCCCUGUGUAUUUUUUUCCUGUUCAUUUAGGGGUUACAUUUUAUAAUGAAAAACUUGGGUAUUUUAAAUGCUGAUCCAUACAUUUUCUUCUGCUUAUCUGUUGUCGGGUUAAGUAGGUUUUCAGGUGCCCCUUUCUGUAAUUAAAUUUUGCAGCUUUUACUGGAGGAAUCCAAAGGUGUUCCCAGGCCAGAUGAGAUAUAUAACCUCUCUAGCAACAUCUGGGUCUAUCCUGGAAUCUCCUCAAAGUUGAAUCUGACCAGAAAAUCUGCAAAGGAAGGUGUCCAGAAGGCAACUUAAUCUGAUGUGAGAACCAAGUUAGCGGGCUCCAUCGAAACAAAGGAGCAGCAAUUCUACGUCCAGCUGCUCACCUUAUCUCUAACUGAGCCAUUCUCAGGAGGAAACCCAUUUUUCCUGCUUUUAUCCAUGACCACAUUCUUCCAGUCAAUACCAGGAGCUUAUGAUCUUAGAUAAGAGUUGAGGCAUAGACCAACUAAAGAGAUUUGCCUUCUGACUCAACUCCCUCUUCACCAUAACAGUCACCGGCAUUAUUGCUGAUUCACAUCAUUCAUAAACAAGAUCUCAAGGUACUCAAACUUCUUGUCUUGGAGCAGCAACUUCCCCUUCACCAAAAGGGAGAAUCCACUAGUAUCUGGCAGAGCAACCACGGCUUAAGACUCGGAGGUGCUGAUUCUCAUCCUCGGCUACAAAAUACCCCAGAGCUCACGGAAGGUCACGGUCUGAUGAAGACAGCAGGAUGAUGUCAUCUGCAAAUGGAACAGAUGUGAUUCUUAGUUUCCAAACCACAUAACUGUGCCUCGAGAUCCUGUCCAUUAAUUGAAGAAAUCCAGCAACCACCGGAAAUGUGUCUGGCUUUGUGCCAGUGAUACAAAGACAGCAAUGGAAGGACUGGAUGCCCCUUAGCAAUGACCCCAGUACCCAAACAGGGCUGGCUGGGUCACUUAGUUCUCCAAGUCCAUAAAACACAUAUGGACUGGAUGCUCAAACGCCCAUCUCCCAGACUGCAACUCCACAAAGUUCCACUGUUGCUGCUCAUCCUGAAUCUGAGAUGAAACAGUCCUCCUUUCCAGCACUUUUGGAUAAACUGUCCUGCAGUGUGACAGUCAGAUCCUUAGAGUCUUUGCAUUUAAACUGGGACUUAAAAAAGAAAACAGAAGCUCUAGUGUCCUAAAUUGUAUUACUAGCAUUAAAUAGGCUUGACAACACUGUAGGUAUGUAUUGUAGAUCUUUGCAGAAGAGGAUUAGCUCCACUUUGAGCCAAAUACUUGAGUUCUGACUUUUUCAAUAAAGCCAAAAAAUUUGAAAAUAACUAAGCCCUCGGUAUUAGUGUCAGAUCCAGAUUUUCUUAUAAAAAUGUAGAUGAUGUUGGGGGAACUUGUUGUCAUAACAUCAAUAUUUAAAAGCUUGCCCACAGCCUUGAUCAUGAUUUAUAUAUACUGUCUUUUAAGUGUGAGGUGAAUCUAUUUUUGCUCAGUUUCACCUCACCUACACUCCUUUAACCACCUUCCAAUCAUACAGUCACAGCCCAAACUCCAUUUUUACAAACAGGAGCUCUCAGCUCAGUUUUUUAAUGAGAUAAUUUUGCAGACAGAGACAUUUUCUGUUUUCCAUGAGCAACUAUGGUGGUCUGGGUGAUUUCAGCCUGAGCUCAUUUAGUCUAAUAGCAAAAUUAUUAUUCUGGAUUUAAACAGUUUGGCAUAUAUUUUAGAUCCAUUUGCUACAGACAAAUGUGCUGUGAGGUGUUGGUGCGCUGUAAAGCUCGGAGCAUUUGUGAGAAAGCCAGCGUUGUAUCGACACAAAGCUGUCCGGCAUCCAAGGUUGCCUCCUCUUGUCCUUGCUGUUGUCACAGCAACAGAAAAGGCCUGGAUGUUGGAGAAAAGGGCCCGCUUCUUUGUUUAGUCUUUUUUUUCCUUUUUUUUUUUUUUUAAUCCAAAGCGGCUCAAAAAGGCAUUCGGUUAAUCAGUGGAGGUCACUCAGUUUUCAGGGCAAAACAUGGAGCGAGACUGCAACUCAGCACAUUCUUAAAACCGAUUGCUAUAUCUCUGCCAUUUGAAUCUGUUGAUUCAUGCUGAAUGUUUUUUCAGUUGCAAAGCCUCAAAAUCUCUCUGUUUACUCGUCUGCCUGACUGACAUCUUCUGCUGCUUGCGGGUUUCUCUGGCGCCAUCGGAGGAGGAGAGCCCACAGCGGCCCUCUUCCCAGGGACGCCAUGAGAAUACCGACUCCAAAAAUAGAGGUAUCCUCCUCUCCUUUCACCUCAUCUGCUCUUCCAGAUGAAAGACCCAGAUGGCAGGCAACAUCCCAGCAACACUGGUGGACAUCAUCUACAGGUUCGGUCAAGCAGUGGUAUAACUUUUCCAUGAAGGAUCCUGCGUUAAAGGAACAGAAACAGGCUGUGAACACAACAACAGUUUGAUGUCAAAUCCAGCAGUUCUGGAGCAACAUUAUCAUCCAUUUGGAGUCGUGUUACUGGACACCUGGGAAAUUUGAUUGAGGCAGAUCACCACCCUCCCUGAGCCUGGUAGUUGAGUUUUAACCUACCACUGUUCCCAAAGGCUUUCCCAAGGAAUCUUUGGAUUUGUUGAGUUUUCUCUAUAAUUUUAUAAUGAUCUGAUUUUAUGUUGUGGAGCACCUUCAGAUGAAAAAUGCUGCGAAUUGGAAGGACUUGAAAGACUGAAUGGAAGCUCAUACACCAUGGAUUGUGCAACUCACCCCACAUGUUGGUUGCACAAUACACAUUAGGGAUGUUUUGUUUUCCUUUUUUGGAUACAAAUCUUUUUUUAUCUCUGCGAUGAGUGGGCAGCAUCUUUGAGCCCGGAAUCCAGUUUGUAUAAUCCAUCCAUGGUGUCACUCUCAAACAGAAAUGACUUGAGAGGAAAGUCCAGUCAGACCACAUCAUAACAAGUGACUGUUAAAGGCCUUGAACGCAGACGCAGGAGUUUUCACUUAUUCUGGCAAAUUAGAACAAACUUCAGUAACCUAUUAUAAUGAUAAACGUGUCUUGUCUUGCACUCUAACAGAUGUAAAAAAAAAAAAAAAAAAAAAAAAAAAAAAGUAGCAGCAUCGAUCAAGAAUAGCACCUAAUGCUCACACGGUCCUCAUGCUGCACUCAUGUCAUAUUGUUAGAGCAUAAUGAUGAACUGCAGUUAGUCUGAGUUAGACAUUCCUUCUUUUGAAAAGAGCUGAAAGCGUAACUAACCACAGCAUUGAUGUGGUCUCUUCCUGACACAAACACAAUAGAUUCAUCCCAGUUAAAAGGAUCUGUGCAUUGUUUGUCUUUGGUUUCACUUGUUAAUGAACCACCAUUAAUAUGUGACACCACAAAGUAGCUCAUGUGGCUGUUUAAAUGGUGUGACUACAAGGCUUGUUAGUGCUAUCCAGCAGUAAUGCAUCAACACUCCUAAGUUAGAUUAAUGACAGUUUUUGCUUGUUUUUUCACAUUUGGCUGACCCUGUGUGAAUACAGUAUUAGACGAGUUUAAUUAGAUAAAAUAAGUGAAAAGACCUGUUGGAUGACGAGUGUGUGGGGCUUUUUAAUGAUGCAUUUUCUAAUGAAUUUGCAUAGUUCUACACAAAAUGGGUUAACGUCGGAAUCACAGAAUGAUGCAUGAUAUGAUUUCAAAUGGCCAAACAACACAUUUUUGGCAUUUUGGUGCAGACAGAACGAUAAAUGACAUGCAAGAAAGGUUCCCUGGACAGAAAUCAAACUGUGGACGAUGAAAAUGCACACUUUUCAUCAAAGACAGUGCAUCACUUAUACGGAGUUUCACAUUUUUAGCCUUUUUUUUUUUUUGCAAUCCCAGUUACAUUUAUGACAAGCAUUACAAAUUGAUGUGUGAACUAAACAUUUAUUAAAGAUAUUAGUUAAAGCAAAGGUAACUAAUAUAUCUUGAAAUGUGCUUUUGUAACCUUUGUACAAACGUUUUGUUCCAGAAAGUGUUAUCAAAAGUCCUUGAGUUGCUUCAGUUUGUAAUUUUAAAUGGAAAAGCUCAAAAAGAACCAUGCUGACACAAGCCAGGAACUCUUGCAGAGUGUGCUUUAUAAAGUAACGGCUGAUGCAAUAUUACAACAUCACCUACGAGUGUCAAUCUUAUCUGAUGCAAUCUGUAAGACAUAUUAAGAUAUACUCAGGUUAUUAUACAAUUUUAAGGGCCACUUUCUUUGAACGCCAGCGUGUGAGAUGAACAAUUAAGGCAGCAUGGUGGUCAGAUAAACCUCCAUAAGCUCACAGUCAGAUGUCAUCAUCUCUAGUCAUGAAUUCCCAAAUUCAUCACCUGCAUCAUUUUCAUUGUAUUAAAUCUAAAUCUACAGAGGGCGGUACAAGUAAGGCAGCUACUUUUAUGUAUCUGCCCCUCUGCUAUGUGUCACCGUGUGCUGCUACUGUGUAUAAAUAACUCAUAGGUCUCUGCUCCAAAGCCACCAAGCCAAAUUCUCCCUAAAUUUAACCUGUGUGAAUUGUGACUCCGACAUUACUUCUGGGCCGAAACGGAAAGCUCCACACAAUGCGAGCUUGAUUCCACACUGGGGGCUGUAGCAGACUGCCAGCAGACUUGUUUUGCUAACACUCUCCAAAUGAUAAAAAUGUCACUCACAGUCCUAUCUGGAGGCAUGGCGAAUUCCCCCAGCAGCAUCAGCAUCAGCCACACUGGCAUGGCUGGCACUUCUCUGCUCUGUGCAUUUUUUUUAAUAAACACGUCUUCAGCUCAAAUACUAAUCCCCGCAAAGCAGCAGAAAAAAACUUUGCAAGGAAAAAAAAAUCUGACAACUGGUCAGAAAAGGGGGGUGCGAGGGAAAGGCGCUUUCCUGCCCUCAGCAGAAAUACUCCGUCUUCUGGGAUGGGUGAAGGACGUAUUAGAAAAAUGGCUAAAUACUAGUGAAUACACACAGAAUCAUGAAUAAAUUUCUGAUGUCAAAGCA
Molecule: long non-coding RNA, 5595 nt
Organism: Acanthochromis polyacanthus (spiny chromis)
Lineage: Eukaryota; Metazoa; Chordata; Actinopteri; Pomacentridae
Exons: 6
Source: RefSeq, a predicted model, not a curated record